Molecule: ribosomal RNA, 754 nt
Filed under: uncultured bacterium
Lineage: Bacteria
Description: bacterial SSU rRNA
Rfam family: Bacterial small subunit ribosomal RNA
Source: RNAcentral
AUUGAACGCUGGCGGCAGGCUUAACACAUGCAAGUCGAGCGGAAACGAUACCAGCUUGCUGGUAGGCGUCGAGCGGCGGACGGGUGAGUAACACUUAGGAAUCUACCUAGUAGUGGGGGAUAGCUCGGGGAAACUCGAAUUAAUACCGCAUACGACCUACGGGAGAAAGGGGGCAGUUUACUGCUCUCGCUAUUAGAUGAGCCUAAGUCGGAUUAGCUAGAUGGUGGGGUAAAGGCCUACCAUGGCGACGAUCUGUAGCUGGUCUGAGAGGAUGAUCAGCCACACCGGGACUGAGACACGGCCCGGACUCCUACGGGAGGCAGCAGUGGGGAAUAUUGGACAAUGGGGGCAACCCUGAUCCAGCCAUGCCGCGUGUGUGAAGAAGGCCUUUUGGUUGUAAAGCACUUUAAGCAGUGAAGAAGACCAUAUGGUUAAUACCCAUAUGCGAUGACAUUAGCUGCAGAAUAAGCACCGGCUAACUCUGUGCCAGCAGCCGCGGUAAUACAGAGGGUGCAAGCGUUAAUCGGAAUUACUGGGCGUAAAGCGAGCGUAGGUGGCUUGAUAAGUCAGAUGUGAAAUCCCCGGGCUUAACCUGGGAACUGCAUCUGAUACUGUUAAGCUAGAGUAGGUGAGAGGGAAGUAGAAUUCCAGGUGUAGCGGUGAAAUGCGUAGAGAUCUGGAGGAAUACCGAUGGCGAAGGCAGCUUCCUGGCAUCAUACUGACACUGAGCUCGAAAGCGUGGGUAGCAAACAGG